This 254-nucleotide ribosomal RNA is filed under the name uncultured prokaryote. RNAcentral's name for it is "partial 16S ribosomal RNA". It matches the Rfam family "Bacterial small subunit ribosomal RNA", at positions 524 to 777 of the family's 1533-position model. The record is from RNAcentral.
UACGGAGGAUCCGAGCGUUGUCCGGAUUUAUUGGGUUUAAAGGGUGCGCAGGCGGAAGAUUAAGUCGGUGGUGAAAUUUUGCAGCUCAACUGUAAAAGUGCCAUUGAUACUGGGGAGCUAGGAUUUGGUUGCUGUGGGUGGAAUGUGUGGUGUAGCGGUGAAAUGCUUAGAGAUCACACAGAAUAUCGAUUGCGAAGGCAGCUCACAAAGCCAAGAUUGACGCUGAGGCACGAAAGUGUGGGGAUCAAACAGGA